AGAGCGAACGCUGGCGGCAGGCCUAACACAUGCAAGUCGAGCGCCCCGCAAGGGGAGCGGCAGACGGGAGGGUAACACGUGGGAACGUACCCUUCAGUUCGGAACAACCCAGGGAAACUUGGGCUAAUACCGAAUACGUCCGUAAGGAGAAAGAUUUAUCGCCGAAGGAUCGGCCCGCGUCGGAUUAGCUAGUUGGUGGGGUAAAGGCCUACCAAGGCAGUGAUCCGUAGCUGGUUUGAGAGGAUGAUCAGCCACACUGGGACUGAGACACGGCCCAGACUCCUACGGGAGGCAGCAGUGGGGAAUAUUGCGCAAUGGGCGGAAGCCUGACGCAGCGACGCCGCGUGCGGGAUGAAGGCCUUCGGGUUGUAACCGCUUUCACCAGGGGCGAAGCGAGAGUGACGGUACCUGGGGAAGAAGCGCCGGCUAACUACGUGCCAGCAGCCGC
RNAcentral lists this ribosomal RNA (448 nucleotides) under uncultured bacterium. RNAcentral's name for it is "SSU rRNA". It matches the Rfam family "Bacterial small subunit ribosomal RNA", at positions 26 to 518 of the family's 1533-position model. The record is from RNAcentral.